ACAGCAUCAUCUAGUUCGAGACUAAGUGACGCACUCGUGUAGUUUCGGAUAUUAUGACGAAUAUGAUCUGAGACGUCUUGACGCAGCUCUUAUGUGCCAUAAUAUAAGGAAUCUUGUAAGGAAAACUGUCAACUGGAACAGAAUGCUCUAGCCCUGACGGAGAGAAUCAUGGAUUGCAUUAUGUAGCGAACGAGUUAUUGUUAUUCGGACAACUUUGAAACUUCAAAUUGAACCUAAUGGUUCGUCAACGGAGGAACAUGCCGUUGAUUCCUUUACAGCUAUUCGUUUCAAGUCUAAUUUUCAGUUCAACGGAUUUGAACGUCGAUUAUGCUCGGAUGUGUGAAGUUUGCCGACAGAGCUAGUAUGAUCAGUUGCAGUUCAUGGAGGCCGAAGACGAUGCAUCUGGACUUUCCUCCGAUUUGCAACAUGCACAAGAAGUGGUUUUGCAACGGCCGCGAUAGCACAACCUGAUCCCGUAAAUCCCCUGGUCUGGACGAAGCACAACGAAGUUAUCCUGCAGGGCGAUGAACCACGCGAAUAGAUCGUGCUACUCGUUCUUAGCUUGAGGUUCAUCCCUGCCAAAGUAGAUUUCGUUGGUGUUUUUAAGUCCAGACAAUCGUGUGCAUCACAGAAAUUCAUCAAUGAUAUGAAUUGGACCCAGUAGUGGAGACCUCUCAUUGCUAGUUGGUUAACAUUCUCACUUAACAAGAACCACAGCGAGCCCGAAAGGUUUUAGUUUCCAUGACAUGGAGAAACGCGUUGAUAAAAAGCCAUUUUUUCAUAAAACAGACAAAUCGACACCAUUUUGAAUUUUAGUUCGCGCUUUAUGAAAUCUUCGGAAGCUUUUUCGGCAAUUCAGAAGCCCCUCUUGGUUAUGUUCAGUUCUUGGGAGCGAGCCCAAGCAGCAACUAACAACAUGCCUGCCCUGGUCGGAAUGUCCAUGAACAUGCGAAUUUACCACCGCGCCUAAUUUAGCAGUAACAGGCGGUGUAGAGGACAAGCAAAUCAGCCGAAUCACACCCGUGGUGCAACCGGCACCAAAUCGAUACAACAGCCACCCGAGAUUCCGUCUCGCAGCCGCCUUCGUAACGGUUAAUUUCCGAAACCGAUGUUAAAACGCUCAAAUAUUUUAUAUGAAUCUAAUAAAUGAUUCGA
Topomyia yanbarensis is the source of this 1155-nucleotide long non-coding RNA. RefSeq lists it as uncharacterized. The transcript is spliced from 3 exons. The record is from RefSeq and is a predicted model, not a curated record. NCBI's taxonomy places the organism in Eukaryota, Metazoa, Arthropoda, Insecta, Diptera, Culicidae.